Molecule: ribosomal RNA, 258 nt
Filed under: uncultured bacterium
Lineage: Bacteria
Description: partial 16S ribosomal RNA
Rfam family: Bacterial small subunit ribosomal RNA
Source: RNAcentral
UGGCGGACGGGUGAGUAAUGUCUGGGAAACUGCCUGAUGGAGGGGGAGUAACUACUGGAAACGGUAGCUAAUACCGCAUAACGUCGCAAGACCAAAGAGGGGGGACCUUCGGGCCUCUUGCCAUCGGAUGUGCCCAGAUGGGAUUAGCUAGUAGGUGGGGUAACGGCUCACCUAGGCGACGAUCCCUAGCUGGUCUGAGAGGAUGACCAGCCACACUGGAACUGAGACACGGUCCAGACUCCUACGGGAGGCAGCAUG